RNAcentral lists this non-coding RNA (45 nucleotides) under Echinostoma caproni. Lineage: Eukaryota; Metazoa; Platyhelminthes; Trematoda; Plagiorchiida; Echinostomatidae. The record is from RNAcentral.
GCACAGCUGACAAGUCCCAAACAGGACGAAACAGCUGUCUAGUGC